RNAcentral lists this ribosomal RNA (254 nucleotides) under uncultured bacterium. RNAcentral describes it as "partial 16S ribosomal RNA". It matches the Rfam family "Bacterial small subunit ribosomal RNA", at positions 524 to 776 of the family's 1533-position model. The record is from RNAcentral.
UACGUAGGGGGGCAAGCGUUGUCCGGAUUCAUUGGGCGUAAAGAGCGUGUAGGCGGCCAGGUAGGUCGGUUGUGAAAACUGGAGGCUCAACCUUCAGAGGUCGACCGAAACCAUCUGGCUAGAGUCCGGGAGAGGAGAGUGGAAUUCCCGGUGUAGCGGUGAAAUGCGCAGAUAUCGGGAAGAACACCCGUGGCGAAGGCGGUUCUCUGGGACGGUACUGACGCUGAGACGCGAAAGCGUGGGGAGCGAACAGG